Molecule: ribosomal RNA, 253 nt
Filed under: uncultured prokaryote
Description: partial 16S ribosomal RNA
Rfam family: Bacterial small subunit ribosomal RNA
Source: RNAcentral
ACGGAGGGUGCAAGCGUUAUCCGGAUUCACUGGGUUUAAAGGGUGCGUAGGAGGGCAGGUAAGUCAGUGGUGAAAUCUCCAAGCUUAACUUGGAAACUGCCGUUGAUACUAUCUGUCUUGAAUACCGUGGAGGUGAGCGGAAUAUGUCAUGUAGCGGUGAAAUGCUUAGAUAUCAAGAGGAACACCUGCGGCGAAGGCGGGUUGCUGGGCCGACACUGACGCUGAGGCGCGAAAGCUAGGGGAGCGAACGGGA